Molecule: ribosomal RNA, 253 nt
Filed under: uncultured bacterium
Lineage: Bacteria
Description: partial 16S ribosomal RNA
Rfam family: Bacterial small subunit ribosomal RNA
Source: RNAcentral
UACGUAGGUGGCGAGCGUUGUCCGGAUUUACUGGGCGUAAAGCGUGCGCAGGCGGUUUCUUAAGUCAGAUGUGAAAGCCCCGGGCUUAACCUGGGAACUGCGUUUGAAACUGGGAGACUUGAGUGUGGCAGAGGGGGGUGGAAUUCCACGUGUAGCAGUGAAAUGCGUAGAUAUGUGGAGGAACACCAAUGGCGAAGGCAGCCCCCUGGGUCAACACUGACGCUCAUGCACGAAAGCGUGGGGAGCAAACAGG